CCUACGGGUGGCAGCAGUGGGGGAUAUUGCACAAUGGGGGAAACCCUGAUGCAGCGACGCCGCGUGUGGGAAGACGGUCCUCUGGAUUGUAAACCACUGUCCCCAGGGACGAAGAUGACGGUACCUGGGGAGGAAGCUCCGGCUAACUACGUGCCAGCAGCCGCGGUAAUACGUAGGGAGCAAGCGUUGUCCGGAAUUACUGGGUGUAAAGGGAGCGUAGGCGGGAUGGCAAGUUGGGUGUUAAAUCUACCGGCUCAACUGGUAGUCGCACUCAAAACUGCUAUUCUUGAGUGAAGGAGAGGCAGGCGGAAUUCCUGGUGUAGCGGUGAAAUGCGUAGAUAUUAGGAGGAACAUCAGUGGCGAAGGCGGCCUGCUGGGAUUUUACUGACGCUGAGGCUCGAAAGUGUGGGGAGCGAACAGGAUUAGAUACCCGGGUAGUC
RNAcentral lists this ribosomal RNA (440 nucleotides) under uncultured bacterium. RNAcentral's name for it is "partial 16S ribosomal RNA". It matches the Rfam family "Bacterial small subunit ribosomal RNA", at positions 338 to 795 of the family's 1533-position model. The record is from RNAcentral.